Sander lucioperca (pikeperch) is the source of this 291-nucleotide long non-coding RNA. RefSeq lists it as uncharacterized. The record is from RefSeq and is a predicted model, not a curated record. Lineage: Eukaryota; Metazoa; Chordata; Actinopteri; Perciformes; Percidae. The transcript has 4 exons.
CCAGUGUGUCUCCAUGUUUUUUAUUUGUUCUGUUAAGUUGUUCCUCUGUGUCUCCAGCUCCUGGUUUUGUGUUGUCAGGUUCUGGACGUCUGCAGUCAGGUUUGUGAUCUUACUUUCUAAGACAGUAUAGUUUUGUGUCAGGUUGCCCAACUGGACUGUCAGAUUGUUGUUGUCCCUCCUCAAGUUUUCAUUGUCUAAGCUGAGUUUGUUGUUGAGGUUUGUCAGGUUGCGAUUGGCAGCCAUCAGCUCACUUUCAUCACUCUGAUGACUUAAUGUAGCAACUGCAAAAUG